Molecule: non-coding RNA, 184 nt
Filed under: Deltaproteobacteria bacterium
Lineage: Bacteria; Pseudomonadati; Myxococcota; Myxococcia
Description: 6S RNA
Rfam family: 6S / SsrS RNA
About the family: E. coli 6S RNA was the first non coding RNA to be sequenced, but its function was unknown until recently.
Source: RNAcentral
GUUCCCCUGCUAUGUUCGUGAUUGGUGGAAGAUUUUUGAGCUAACAGUAACGGAAAAGGGAGCUCCCUCUUGCCUUUGUGUGUUUUUUGGAUAGUGGAAAAGACCUAAUGAGGUAACGGAACACCCACCUGGUACAGAUCAGGUUCAAAAAGAGCUGCUGACACGGCAUUGGAGCGGGGGAAAC